GGAAUAUUGGACAAUGGGCGAAAGCCUGAUCCAGCAACGCCGCGUGGAGGACGAAGGCCCUCGGGUUGUAAACUCCUGUCAGGUGGGACGAAUGGUCGCCGGUCAAUACCCGGCGCACCAUGACGGUACCACCGGAGGAAGCCCCGGCUAACUCCGUGCCAGCAGCCGCGGUAAUACGGAGGGGGCAAGCGUUAUUCGGAAUUAUUGGGCGUAAAGGGCGCGUAGGCGGCCUGGCAAGUCAGGGGUGAAAUCCCUCGGCUCAACCGAGGAACUGCCUCUGAAACUGCCUGGCUUGAGGCCGGGAGAGGGUAGUGGAAUUCCCAGUGUAGCGGUGAAAUGCGUAGAUAUUGGGAGGAACACCGGUGGCGAAGGCGGCUACCUGGACCGGUUCUGACGCUGAGGCGCGAAAGUGUGGGGAGCAAAC
RNAcentral lists this ribosomal RNA (424 nucleotides) under uncultured bacterium. RNAcentral's name for it is "bacterial SSU rRNA". It matches the Rfam family "Bacterial small subunit ribosomal RNA", at positions 358 to 773 of the family's 1533-position model. The record is from RNAcentral.